GACGAAUGCUGGCGGCGUGCUUAACACAUGCAAGUCGAACGGAAAGGCCCUGCUUUUGUGGGGUGCUCGAGUGGCGAACGGGUGAGUAACACGUGAGUAACCUGCCCUUGACUUUGGGAUAACUUCAGGAAACUGGGGCUAAUACCGGAUAGGAGCUCCUGCCGCAUGGUGGGGGUUGGAACGUUUCGGCGGUUGGGGAUGGACUCGCGGCUUAUCAGCGUGUUGGUGGGGUAGUGGCUUACCAAGGCUUUGACGGGUAGCCGGCCUGAGAGGGUGACCGGCCACAUUGGGACUGAGAUACGGCCCAGACUCCUACGGGCGGCAGCAGUGGGGAAUAUUGCACAAUGGGCGGAAGCCUGAUGUAGGAACGCCGGGUGCGGGAUGACGGCCAUCGGGUUGUAGACCGCUUUCGCAUGCGACGAAGCGUGAGUGACGGUAAUGGGUAAAGACGCACCGGCUAACUACGUG
This 468-nucleotide ribosomal RNA is filed under the name uncultured bacterium. Its description in RNAcentral is "partial 16S ribosomal RNA". It matches the Rfam family "Bacterial small subunit ribosomal RNA", at positions 28 to 507 of the family's 1533-position model. The record is from RNAcentral.